RNAcentral lists this ribosomal RNA (501 nucleotides) under uncultured bacterium. RNAcentral describes it as "bacterial SSU rRNA". It matches the Rfam family "Bacterial small subunit ribosomal RNA", at positions 28 to 517 of the family's 1533-position model. The record is from RNAcentral.
GACGAACGCUGGCGGCGUGGAUUAGGCAUGCAAGUCGAACGGUAGGAUACCUUCGGGUAUCUGAGAGUGGCGAACGGGUGAGUAACACGUAGGUGAUCUACCCUCAAGAUUGGGACAACCCAGGGAAACUUGGGCUAAUACCGGAUGAAAGCAGCAGUGAUGUUGUUUGAAAGGUGGCGUAAGCUGCCGUUUGGGGAUGAGCCUGCGCUCUAUUAGUUAGUUGGCGGGGUAAAGGCCCACCAAGGCGAUGAUAGAUAGGCGGCCUUAACGGGUGGUCGCCCACACUGGGAUUGAGAUACGGCCCAGACUCCUACGGGAGGCAGCAGUCGAGAAUAGUCUACAAUGGCCGAAAGGCUGAUAGUGCGACGCCGCGUGAACGAAGAAGCCCUUCGGGGUGUAAAGUUCUUUUAUUAUGUGAGCAGUGCUUUCUUAUGUGAACAGCAUGGGGAGAGAGAUAUUAGCAUAUGAAAUAAGCAACGGCUAACUCCGUGCCAGCAGCCG